RNAcentral lists this ribosomal RNA (253 nucleotides) under uncultured bacterium. RNAcentral describes it as "partial 16S ribosomal RNA". It matches the Rfam family "Bacterial small subunit ribosomal RNA", at positions 524 to 776 of the family's 1533-position model. The record is from RNAcentral.
GACGUAGGGCGCGAGCGUUGUCCGGAUUUAUUGGGCGUAAAGAGCGUGUAGGCGGCCAGGUAGGUCCGUUGUGAAAACUCGAGGCUCAACCUCGAGACGUCGAUGGAAACCAUCUGGCUAGAGUCCGGAAGAGGAGAGUGGAAUUCCUGGUGUAGCGGUGAAAUGCGCAGAUAUCAGGAAGAACACCUAUGGCGAAGGCAGCUCUCUGGGACGGUACUGACGCUGAGACGCGAAAGCGUGGGGAGCGAACAGG